GACGAACGCUGGCGGCGUGCUUAACACACGCGAGUCGAACGGUAAGGCUCCAGCUUGCUGGGGUACACGAGUGGCGAACGGGUGCGUAACACGUGGGUGACCUGCCCUGCACUUCGGGAUAAGCCUGGGAAACUGGGUCUAAUACCGGAUAGGACCAUGGUGUGGAUACUGUGGUGGAAAGUUUUUUCGGUGUGGGAUGGGCCCGCGGCCUAUCCGCUUGUUGGGGGGGUAAUGGCCUACCAAGGCGGCGACGGGUAGCCGGCCUGAGAGGGUGGACGGCCACAUUGGGACUGAGACACGGCCCAGACUCCUACGGGAGGCAGCAGGGGGGAAUAUUGCACAAUGGGCGGAAGCCUGAUGCAGCGACGCCGCGUGGGGGAUGACGGCCUUCGGGUUGUAAACUCCUUUCACCAUCGACGAAGGGUUUCUGACGGUAGAUGGAGAAGAAGCACCGGCUAACUACGUG
RNAcentral lists this ribosomal RNA (466 nucleotides) under uncultured bacterium. RNAcentral describes it as "partial 16S ribosomal RNA". It matches the Rfam family "Bacterial small subunit ribosomal RNA", at positions 28 to 507 of the family's 1533-position model. The record is from RNAcentral.